ACCUCCUGAACGCAUUAUAAACUGUCUCGAAGCAUUCCAAAGAAAGUUUGUUAAAGAAAUUCUUAGACUACCAGACAACACAGCCAAUGCGGCAGUAUAUCUUCUAUCCGGACUUUUACCGAUCGAAGCACAAAUUCACAUACAGGCACUGACCUUCUUACAUACUAUAUGCUCGCAAGAUAGAAACAGUAUUGAGUGGGCGCUACUUGAACGUCAGAUUAGCUUUAAAUCAGUUGACAGCUCAUCCUGGUUCAUACAAGUUCAGCAUAUAAUGUGGAAGUACGAGUUGGGGACUGUUGCUGACUUAGCUGACAACACACCCAAGAAGGGAAAAUGGAAGACACGUGUACUCAAGGCGGUUCAUAGCUACUGGAGUGAUCAAAUAGACAGUUUAACACCCUUAUAUUCUACAUUGUUUUUCCUGAGACAAGAUAAGUAUGUGCCUGGUAAGAUUCUCCCUUUGCUCUCAUUGGAAUAUACGGCCAGAGAGUCAGAACGGUUAAAAACAAAGGUACGGUUACUCACAGGGACUUACAUGCUCCAAACAAAACGUAAGAACUUUAACCAGUAUGACAUAAACCCAACAUGUCAGAUGUGUGGUGAAGAGAACGAAACCGCAGAACAUUUUGUGCUCAAGUGUAGUGCCCUACAUAGUGUUAGACAGUCAAUUAUGGUAGACAUAGAACGACAGUGGGGGGCGAUAACAGAGACUUCAUUUAAUACUUUACCCGUAGACGAACAGCUCUACAUACUCAUCAACAGUUGGCCAACUUUAAAGACUUUCCUGAAAACCCAUUUGUCUUCAGAAUUUCACGAGUUUGAGAAGCAUUGUGGACGGUUGUUGUACGGUCUGGACAGGACACGUCAGUUGCUCUUGGUGACCAAUGCAAGCCAGCGACCACCCCGUACCAAACACACACAAAAAACAAACUAAAGAAGGGCAUAAUUCUUAAUUAAACUGGCAAUAGUGUUUAUUGGGUAUUUUUAUUCAAGGCAAUACAAUUCUAAUGUAUGUACAGAAGCACUCUCCGGCCUUCCGUAAAUUCAUUUAAUGAUUUAUUUUUAUUUUUAUCUCAUUUAAUAUUUUAACAACUAAUGAAAAAUCGCGCGUACAGUUCUAAGUCGCAUAUAUUCGCGAUUAGUGGAUAGACUUAUAUUCUAGUGAAAGGUGUGUGAUUUAAGGAGUGAAUAGUGUGAACGUGUAAUAUAGUGUUUAUAUUCGGUGGAGGAUUAUUCACUGUCUACAAACGAUUGUUUGGUUCCUCUACAAAGGGGGUUCAAGAAGAACACAGAACAGAACAGAAUGGCGGAGGCUUCGAAAUCUACAAUGAGCGAACCAGCCAAAACAGAGGGAGAGAUGAGAAGAAGUAAACGUGUGAGACAGCCAUCUAAGAGAAUGUUGUUGUAUUUUCAGGACACAGAUUCAGAUUCAAGUCUACAGAAGGGUAAAGGAAAACGUCCUGCCAGAAAGUUGAUACAUUAGCAACAACAACUAAGGGGACAUUGGAACACCAUAGCACGUCUGACAAUGAACCUAUACUGGCUUUUGUUCCUUCAAGUUCUCAUGAGUCUGAAGGAGAAACACUCAGUGAGAGAGAGGAUGAUUUAAGAACCAAAUGAAAGGGAAGGAAAAGAGGAAGUAAGAAAGUGAAAGGGCGCUGUUAUGUCCAUGAAGAACAAGAAAAAAAUCUAAGG
Dreissena polymorpha is the source of this 1695-nucleotide long non-coding RNA. RefSeq lists it as uncharacterized. The transcript has 5 exons. Lineage: Eukaryota; Metazoa; Mollusca; Bivalvia; Myida; Dreissenidae. The record is from RefSeq and is a predicted model, not a curated record.